UAUCCCUCGCUGCUAAGCUAUCCCUCACUGCUAAGCUAUCGCCGCUGCCAACCUAUCUAUUGCUGCAAGCUAUCCCUCGCUGCUAAGCUAUCCCUCACUGCUAAGCUAUCUCUCGCUGCUAAGCUAUCCCUCGCUGCUAAGCUAUCCCUCGCUGCUAAGCUAUCCCUCGCUGGCUAUCCCUCACUGCUAAGCUAUCCCUCACUACUAAGCUAUCUAUCGCUGCUAAUCUAUCGCUGCCAACCUAUCUAUCGCUGCCAAUUUAUUGCUGCUAAUCUAUCACUGCUAAUCUAUCGCUGCUAAUCUAUCGCUGCUAAUCUAUCGCUUCUAAUCUAUCGCUGCUAAUCUAUCGCUGCCAACCUAUCUACCGCGGCGAAUAUAUCUAUUGCUGCCAACCAACCUACCACUGCCAAUCUAUCUAUCGCUGCCAAUCUAUCGCUGCCAACCUAUCUACUGCAGUGAAUCUAUCUAUCACUAUCAUUACUAGUUCAAAAUAGAACUAGAGCAUAAAUACACUAAACUUCUUUUGAUAGAUAAUGAUUUUUGGUAACACUCAUAGCAUUAUAUCAUCUAUAUAGGGUAAAUCAUGGUUCCAUUUGGUCCCAUUUUAACAAAAUGGGACCAAAUGGGACCAGAAUCAGUAAUUUAUAAGAAGAACAUGACCUGGGACUAGAUUUAUAAUAUAAACAG
This 687-nucleotide small RNA is filed under the name Histoplasma ohiense. RNAcentral's name for it is "hypothetical lncRNA". The record is from RNAcentral. Lineage: Eukaryota; Fungi; Ascomycota; Eurotiomycetes; Onygenales; Ajellomycetaceae.